Molecule: ribosomal RNA, 1063 nt
Filed under: uncultured cyanobacterium
Lineage: Bacteria; Bacillati; Cyanobacteriota
Description: bacterial SSU rRNA
Rfam family: Bacterial small subunit ribosomal RNA
Source: RNAcentral
GUACCUGAAGAAAAAGCAUCGGCCAACUCCGUGCCAGCAGCCGCGGUAAUACGGAGGAUGCAAGCGUUAUCCGGAAUCAUUGGGCGUAAAGGGUCCGCAGGUGGCGAAUAAAGUCUGCUGUUAAAGACCGGGGCUUAACUCCGGAAAGGCAGUGGAAACUGAUUAGCUAGAGUACGGUAGGGGUAGAGGGAAUUCCCAGUGUAGCGGUGAAAUGCGUAGAUAUUGGGAAGAACACCGGUGGCGAAAGCGCUCUACUAGGCCGAAACUGACACUGAGGGACGAAAGCUAGGGUAGCGAAAGGGAUUAGAUACCCCUGUAGUCUUAGCGGUAAACGAUGGAUACUAGGUGUAGCUUGUAUCGACCCGAGCUGUGCCGAAGCUAACGCGAUAAGUAUCCCGCCUGGGGAGUACGCACGCAAGUGUGAAACUCAAAGGAAUUGACGGGGGCCCGCACAAGCGGUGGAGUAUGUGGUUUAAUUCGAUGCAACGCGAAGAACCUUACCAGGGCUUGACAUGUCGCGAAUCUAGCGGAAACGUUAGAGUGCCUUAGGGAAUGCGAACACAGGUGGUGCAUGGCUGUCGUCAGCUCGUGUCGUGAGAUGUUGGGUUAAGUCCCGCAACGAGCGCAACCCUCGUCCUUAGUUGCCAAUAUUAAGUUAGGCACUCUAGGGAGACUGCCGGGGACAACUCGGAGGAAGGUGGGGAUGACGUCAAGUCAGCAUGCCCCUUACGUCCUGGGCGACACACGUACUACAAUGGUUGGGACAAAGGGCAGCAAGCUCGCGAGAGUAAGCGAAUCUCAUCAAACCCAGCCACAGUUCAGAUUGCAGGCUGCAACUCGCCUGCAUGAAGUAAGAAUCGCUAGUAAUCGCAGGUCAGCAUACUGCGGUGAAUUCGUUCCCGGGCCUUGUACACACCGCCCGUCACACCAUGGAAGCUGGCUACGCCCGAAGUCGUUACCCUAACCCGGUUUUGGGAGGGGGAUGCCGAAGGUAGAGCUAGUGGCUGGGGUGAAGUCGUAACAAGGUAGCCGUACCGGAAGGUGUGGCUGGAUCACCUCCUUU